UGAGCCGCACUGUCGUGAAUAGGUGUGAGUUGAAUACGGCUAACACGACAGACACACAAACCUAAAUGACAUACUAGCUAGCAGACGGUAAAAGUUUGUCAUCAUAGUAAGUAGGUUGACUGUUGUCAAACCAAGCUGCUAAAUUCAAGCAAAAAUGAAGGCAAUUUUGGAAUAUGUGAAGCAAUUUUUGCUACAAAGAGUGUUUAUGUACGGAUUGAUUAUAUUGGCAAGUUUAUUUGUGGUUUCACCGCUUGGUUCCUUACAGACGACGUUUAAUGAAAAUUGCCUGCUGUAUUCUGAUGUGAACUAUACAACAUGGAAUAAUGUACAUUAUUUUGCUGUUAAAUUUGGUUCCAGUUCUAUCUGUGAUUAUGAUUUAGCUGUAGCUGUUAUAUUUUGUAUAUUUUAUCCAGCUAUACUUAUCGCAGCUAACAUAUUUCUCUUCUUUAGAGAAAAGGCCGAUAAAAAAGUGGAUCUUUCUCAUUUCUUAUUUGUUGGUAAUUGUAUAUUAGAUAUGGUUAUAACUAUAUUGGUGUUAGUAAUGGCGUGUACUAUUAGCGCUGGUUUCACGUACCUGUGUGAUCAACUUAUGGCGGGACAAAGUCUAGGCAUGCCAAUAUCAAGUUGCUCUGACGCCCAAAGGUUUGAAAAUUGGAGAGAGCUAGAUGGUUCUAAUUUCCACCUUGAUUUAUCAAUAGCAACGGCGGGAAGCUGGAUCACGUUCAUAUUCUGGUUUUUACAAGCAUUUUUUGGAAUGUGGAAAUUAUGGAGAUUAAAUAUGUUACCAACAGUGCCUGAAAAAUUCAAGUUUUGUUUUAAGAAUUCUUGAAAACGUUCAAGAAUAUAAACAAAAACAAAGUGUUCGAUAUUCAAAGAUAUUGUAUUCCAGGAAUUAAAAUCAGAGAUCCGUGGAAUCGAACCAAUUCGUAUAAUUUAUUGUGACUGUGAGACUGUUCAAUCCCUCUACGUUUAGACGGCCAUUAACGAUUUUUAUUUAAUCAUCAUUGAACUCAUACAUAACCUGUGUCUUCGGGAAUGCCGAGUUGGACAUAACGAUGUUUAACUGUAUAUUGUAAGAACAAUUAUAUCACAAACUAUUUACAUUUCAUAUUGAACGUUGAAACCAUUUUGUGUAUUCAGUCGGUAGGCCUGUGCAUAUUUGUCAAAAGUUUGGUGUAAGCUGUUAUUGCCAAGAUGUUUUCAAAGCUGUGGUUGUGAAUGGACGGAUGUAGUUUAUCCUCCAGAUGAAAAACAAACUCCUGCACAACAAACAAUUUGAACCAUAUACUGGGUCUUCUUGGAACAUCAUGGAAUAUGCACUUUUACUUUAUGCAAAUUGCAUAAUGAAUAAUAAGUCAUGCCGAAAAGUGCUAAAAUAUGACAAUUAUUAAGUUUGUGUUUGUGAAACGACUAUGUAUAUGUUUCGUAUAUUAUGAAAUGUACAGAACAGACGUCCCUUUAUCUAAUUCUAAUGUUUCAAUUUGUAUCCGACAGCCCAUACGAUUUGAAUCAUUCGACGUAAUGUGUUUACAUUAGAACCUCUAAGCUCCUAUUUCGACGAAAUUCUAUGUGUUCAGGCUUAGACAUGUGGUUUUGGGUGGUGGUAAUUCAGGUGCGCAUACCACGGAUUUCAUUCGUACCCAAAAGAAGAAGGUAACGUGUCUGUCGGGUUAGUCCCCCCCCCCCUUAAAAUAAAGUCAAGAAUCCGUACUUUAAUAGCAGAGUUAUGACUAAUUCCUAGGAACGGUCUCUGAUCUCCGAUUGAACGCUGUCCACUGGCCGUUCCUGUUCAUCCCUAUUAAGCUGCAAUAUGAAAAUACCGCUCUACCUUCAACUCUGUUCUAAGGCUAUUUUUCACCGUGAUUCUUCUUUUUUCGACAAAAGGAAUCAUUUCUCGCCACAUCUGACACAAAUGUAGGCUAUCCAACUCUAUUUCCAAGUAGAAUUUUGCGAUUCAGCCACGAAACCGCGACCUCCUGUCUGCGCAAACGCGAAUUUUGUUUAUGUUUUUUAAUCGCAAAAUUCUACUUGAAAUAGCGUUGAAUUAUUAUAUAUUUUUGUCAGAUGUGGCGAGAAAUGAUUCCUUUUGGCGAAAUAAGAAGAAUUACGGUGGAAAAUAGAAGGUAAGGGUUACAAAAUAACCCUAGAACAGAGGUGGGGUAGAGUGGUAUUUUCAUGCUGCAGCUUAAUAGGGAUGAACAGGAACGGUCAGAGGACAGCAUCCGAUCAGAGACCAUUCCUAAAGGAACCAAGUUAUGACUACUGAAUUGGAUUGUGAAGCAAGCUGAACCAUACGAUAAAAAUUGAUAAUUUUGAUGCUGUACAUUAAUAUCAUGGAAUCUAUCCUGUGGUAUCAUACAAUUUAUAAUAAUAACAAUAUCUGGUACAUCUAUUACUGUAUUACUGUGUUAUAUUUAUGUAUUAUGAGUUAUGUAUAUGUACUAAAAAAUAAAAUUAUUGUAAAGAAAAAUAAAAUUAUUGUAAAGAAAAAUAAAAAAUAUGCUAACGUGUAAAUUGAAGGGCCAAAGUU
Patella vulgata (common limpet) is the source of this 2530-nucleotide long non-coding RNA. RefSeq lists it as uncharacterized. The transcript is spliced from 5 exons. The record is from RefSeq and is a predicted model, not a curated record. Lineage: Eukaryota; Metazoa; Mollusca; Gastropoda; Patellidae.